This 460-nucleotide ribosomal RNA is filed under the name Klebsiella pneumoniae. RNAcentral describes it as "bacterial SSU rRNA". It matches the Rfam family "Bacterial small subunit ribosomal RNA", at positions 1083 to 1533 of the family's 1533-position model. Lineage: Bacteria; Pseudomonadati; Pseudomonadota; Gammaproteobacteria; Enterobacterales; Enterobacteriaceae. The record is from RNAcentral.
AGUCCCGCAACGAGCGCAACCCUUAUCCUUUGUUGCCAGCGGUCCGGCCGGGAACUCAAAGGAGACUGCCAGUGAUAAACUGGAGGAAGGUGGGGAUGACGUCAAGUCAUCAUGGCCCUUACGACCAGGGCUACACACGUGCUACAAUGGCAUAUACAAAGAGAAGCGACCUCGCGAGAGCAAGCGGACCUCAUAAAGUAUGUCGUAGUCCGGAUUGGAGUCUGCAACUCGACUCCAUGAAGUCGGAAUCGCUAGUAAUCGUAGAUCAGAAUGCUACGGUGAAUACGUUCCCGGGCCUUGUACACACCGCCCGUCACACCAUGGGAGUGGGUUGCAAAAGAAGUAGGUAGCUUAACCUUCGGGAGGGCGCUUACCACUUUGUGAUUCAUGACUGGGGUGAAGUCGUAACAAGGUAACCGUAGGGGAACCUGCGGUUGGAUCACCUCCUUACCUUAAAGAA